This 1432-nucleotide long non-coding RNA is filed under the name Anas platyrhynchos platyrhynchos (common mallard). Its description in RNAcentral is "lncRNA (ENSAPLG00000016762.1)". The record is from RNAcentral. Lineage: Eukaryota; Metazoa; Chordata; Aves; Anseriformes; Anatidae.
AUGCUCUUGGUGCUGUACCUGGGGGUCUGUGGGGGUGCAGGGCUGGGGAUUGCAGUGCCCCGGUGCUGUGCUGCUGGACCCCGGUGCUGCGCCACCCCCCGGGGUUACAACUGCUCCCCGUGGAGCUGUGGGAAAGGCUUUAUCAGCACAGGGCAGAGAGCAAGGGCUGGGCGGCCUUGGCACAUGCCCCAGUCAGCAGCGGGGAAGGGGCAAGGGAUUUCCCUGCUGUCCUUGGAGCGGCCCGGCCCCUGCCCUUGGCCCCGUGUUUACAGCUUGUUUUGGGGUGGCGCGGACACUCCCGGGGCUGCAGAGGGACCGGCAGCUGGCGAGCCCCAGCUCCCUUUGUGGGCUUCAUGGCAGCUGUGGGGUGAGGGAGCCCCGUGCCCCUGGCCACCCCCUGUGUGGUGGGCGCUGCGAGGCGCUCCUGCUAUUGGGGGCAGGCGGUGGUGGUGGCGGUCACCCCAUCAGUGCUGGCACCAGCACGCCCCAGGGACUCUGCAUGCAGAGAUCUUUGUCCCAUGGGCACAGCGGGAUGGGCACAGCACUGGGAUCCUGCAUCCCACCAGCAUCCCGCAUCCCACCAGGUGCUGGGGGCCCCCAUGGCUGUGCCAUCGUGGUGACGGUGCCCGUCUGACCCUUCAGAGCCCCCCCCCAGGUGGUAAUUGCUCCAGCAGCCCCAACUUGGUAUUUGCCCCGACGCCUCCCUGCAAACCUGCUGCAGCCGGUCCCAGCCCCGCCUGCCUGCCCUUCCUCACUGGGAGGAGGAGGAGGAGGAGACGGCGGCUGAGGGCCAGGUCUGGAAGGAGCAAGGAGCGUGCGUGGGAGCCGGGCGAGCGCGGGGCUGCGGCACAGCGGGACGGGACGGGACAGGACGGGACGGGACGGGACGGGAGGGCUCAGCUCUCCCCGCCACCAGGUACCGCCUGGGGUGGGCAGCAGCAGCCCCAGUCCGGGGGUUUUGCUCCGUGCACUUUGAUCCAGCACCGGCCCCACGUGUCUGUCUGCUCAGCCAGCUCGGCCAGCCACGGAGGGACCCAGGAGCUGUCACCUGCUGCCAGCUCCUGCCUGCGAGCAGGGCACUGGGGGUGCUGCGGCCACCUCGGGGACCCGGCUGCUGUCCCCAGGGGCGCCGUGGCCAUGAGGAGAGCGCAAGCGUGCUGCACUCCUCCUUCAUGUCGGGGAAGCUGAAGAAGAGCAGGAAGGCGGCGCUGGGGGAGAAGCAGUGGCAGAGCCUGGAGGAGAGGGGCAGCGCGGGCACCCAGCCGGGGUCGCACCCUGCACUCACCAGGUGGGUGCUGCUCGUGUCUGCGUGUCCCCAUGUCCCGGGGACACCAGGGGACUCAGCUCACCCUGCCUGCUGCUCCCUGCCAGGUCCAAAACCUACGACCCUUCCUGUAAGGAGACAGAGGAGGCUGAAGGGGCUGGAGGCCGG